CCGGCACGGGUGAGUAACGUGUAUCCAACCUGCCGUCUACUCUUGGACAGCCUUCUGAAAGGAAGAUUAAUACAAGAUGGCAUCAUGAGUCCGCAUGUUCACAUGAUUAAAGGUAUUCCGGUAGACGAUGGGGAUGCGUUCCAUUAGAUAGUAGGCGGGGUAACGGCCCACCUAGUCUUCGAUGGAUAGGGGUUCUGAGAGGAAGGUCCCCCACAUUGGAACUGAGACACGGUCCAA
RNAcentral lists this ribosomal RNA (237 nucleotides) under uncultured bacterium. Its description in RNAcentral is "partial 16S ribosomal RNA". It matches the Rfam family "Bacterial small subunit ribosomal RNA", at positions 100 to 334 of the family's 1533-position model. The record is from RNAcentral.